RNAcentral lists this long non-coding RNA (235 nucleotides) under Capsella rubella. Its description in RNAcentral is "long non-coding RNA (CRUB_LNC004691)". The record is from RNAcentral. Lineage: Eukaryota; Viridiplantae; Streptophyta; Magnoliopsida; Brassicales; Brassicaceae.
UGCCAAGUCAUGGUUAGUAGCUAGUUUGCAAACCCCCUCAUUUAAACAGAUAUUAAUUAUGUUCCUUUAUAAGAACUAUUAGAAGAGAGUACAUCCAUAAAUUGGGAAGUGCAUGUAUAUUUCAACUACUACUCUCCCUAAGAAAAAAAAAAAAAAAGAGUCGGAGGUUUUUGUCUUAUAAGACUUGAUCCCAAUUAAUCUCUCAAUUUCCAUAACGAAUCAUUCAACACGAUAA